RNAcentral lists this long non-coding RNA (654 nucleotides) under Gallus gallus (chicken). RNAcentral describes it as "long non-coding RNA NONGGAT002054". Lineage: Eukaryota; Metazoa; Chordata; Aves; Galliformes; Phasianidae. The record is from RNAcentral.
GGGAUCCCAGGUACCCUUCUGCUUUAAAAAGAGAGGUGGCCCAAGACAAUUAAGGCCCUCGUGCCAUUCCUCUGGAGUUGUAUAAUCAUUUGCCAGCCUGAACUGAAAGGUGUGCUGCUGUCUGCGUGCCAUGGGAAGCUGCAUGGAAAAGCAUUGUCUCCAAGGAUGCCUUCUGUACCUUCACACCCGUUAAGCAGUGCCUCCCCCUCUGUUGGUAUUGCUGGCCCAGCUGCCAGGCCUGGCUUUGUGUCUGGGGCUGUAGAAGUGUCUCAGCUGUUCCUAUUCCUGUCUGCAGUGGCACUGGUGGUGAGGUGCUGUGAGCAGAAUAGUAGCAGCAGGUCUGAAGAGACUGGAUGUGAUUGUAUGGUGAGCACAAUAGAAUAACUUGGCUGCACAAAUUACAGAUGAUGUUUUGAAAAGAACAAGAACUGUGUUAAUCUAGAAGAAAAUGAAGUGAGUGCUUGCUGAAUAUUGUCUUGACCGUCCUUUAGGAUGGACAACUGGCAGACGUGGCACAGUGCAAACUGCCUUAUGGUGUCCCAUCAGGUCAGACAGGUAACGCACGCUUCAACUUCUGUGUGUACCACAGCUGAAGCCCACUAACAUAACUUCAUUUGCCUCAUCCUAAACUUCUGUCGUUGCUUUAGAUUUUAU